AACCCGGCCCUUUUCAGGGCCACCCAAAUCAUUAAAAAGGGCUGUAU
Non-coding RNA from Branchiostoma floridae (Florida lancelet), 47 nucleotides. The record is from Rfam. NCBI's taxonomy places the organism in Eukaryota, Metazoa, Chordata, Leptocardii, Amphioxiformes, Branchiostomatidae.